UGUCAAGCGGUUCGGCGCCAUUUCGGCGAGCAGAUUUCUUUUGCCUAGCGAUAGGUGAAAGAGAAUG
RNAcentral lists this small RNA (67 nucleotides) under Hyphomicrobiales bacterium. RNAcentral's name for it is "S-element". It matches the Rfam family "S-element". Rfam says of the family: This family represents a group of S-elements from p42d and related plasmids. Lineage: Bacteria; Pseudomonadati; Pseudomonadota; Alphaproteobacteria; Hyphomicrobiales. The record is from RNAcentral.